RNAcentral lists this unclassified non-coding RNA (353 nucleotides) under soil metagenome. Its description in RNAcentral is "partial contains 5.8S ribosomal RNA, internal transcribed spacer 2, and large subunit ribosomal RNA". The stretch from base 1 to 120 matches the Rfam family "5.8S ribosomal RNA", at positions 35 to 154 of the family's 154-position model. The record is from RNAcentral.
GAUGAAGAACGUAGCGAAAUGCGAUAAGUAAUGUGAAUUGCAGAAUUCAGUGAAUCAUCGAAUCUUUGAACGCACAUUGCGCCCGCCAGUAUUCUGGCGGGCAUGCCUGUUCGAGCGUCAUUACAACCCUCAGGCCCCCGGGCCUGGCGUUGGGGAUCGGCGGAAGCCCCCUGCGGGCACAACGCCGUCCCCCAAAUACAGUGGCGGUCCCGCCGCAGCUUCCAUUGCGUAGUAGCUAGCACCUCGCAACUGGAGAGCGGCGCGGCCACGCCGUAAAACACCCAACUUCUGAAUGUUGACCUCGAAUCAGGUAGGAAUACCCGCUGAACUUAAGCAUAUCAAUAAGCGGAGGA